UUUUUCCACUUCAAUAGAUAAAAUUACUUGUCAAAAUUUAAGUUUGUAAAACAUUUUACUUAAUAGUUGAAUAUAUUUUCUACAAAAAACAAUGGAUUUCUCCUCUAUAUGCUUCUUUAAAAUACUUAACUUACAAACCAUUCAUUUGUGACUGCCUUUACAUCUUUUAAAUUGAUUUAAUUUUAGGGGACCAUCUCAAUUUGGACUAAUACUCUGGCUCCAGAUACAAUACCCAAUUAAUUUCCCUAGCAGUAACUCCCCUGAGUAGUAAUGCUGAAUUUCAUAUUUAUUGUGCAAACUCAAGGAAAUUCAUAUUAUUUAAACAUUAUUUGUGUUGCAUGCUGAAAAUAAUUAGCUAUUAUAUUUUUGGAAAUGUUGGUACACAUUUUUUUCAGUCUAACAAGUUGUCUGGAAAUUUCACACAGAUGGUAUAAACUUCUGAGUUUACUGUUCCUAUAAGAAAGUUUUGCAUGGUUUCUUCUUUGGGUAGCUGCUAUGAAAUAGAUGUUUAAAAUUUAGCAGAAGCUUACCAGGCCCUCAGAUUUAUAAGCAGUUCCAUUGGGAAAGUCUUACUAAGACCAUGGGAUGUUUUGCAUAUGCAGAAUUUGCUUUUCGCCACUGAUGGGGCAUGAUGAAAAGACCGUUUACAGUCACAUACUGAUACCUCACAUUCAUAUCUACCACAGACAAAUGGGGAUCCACUUCCAGUAUGACAGUCUUGAAAGCCGAGUUUAUAAAUGGGCUAUUUCAGGCCAUGACAUUCCUUUACACUUCGCUUUCUUUUUACAAAAUCCAUCUUGCUUUGGAUUUAUAACCACGCUUAUCUCCAAAAUCCUGUAGCAAAAUCUAGCAAAAUCUCUGUUGUGUUCCUGAAUGAAGUAAAAGAAAUUGAGCUACAGCAAGGCUGUAAUAAUCGCUUUAAAAGGAUAAAAGCUAGCAAGUGCUCAGCUUGCAAUUGAACUGUACCUACAGCCACACUUUUUUGCUGUGUUUAAUAAAACCACUUUGAGGAAUUAUGCCAACCAACUUUGCUUGGAUGGAGUUUCCUCCCAUCAUUUUGCCUGUCUUCUCCCCAGAGAACAGGGAAUUCUAACAAAGGCUCUUGAUGAACACAUUCAGGAAUCUAAUCUCUUGAAACAAAAAUAUUAAUUAGAUUUCAUGCUCACAUGCAGGUGUUGUUAUAAAUAUAAUGCUUUGUGAAGCUAUGAAAAUUAUCUUUCCAAAUGAAUAAUUUUUUGUGUGUUACAGUAGUGAAAAAUUGUGGAAAAGUCUGACUUCCUUCCCACAGUUAUAAUUCAAUCUUCAUAUAUCAAAUAACCAUGGCAUCAGCUUCUCUUUUGUUCCAAAUAUAAAAAACACGCACAUUUCUUAUGAUUUAAGCUACUGCUUUUGAAUCUCUCCAUGUUUAGUCACACAUAGCAGUCAUUAGCAUAUUUGCUUAAUUUAUCAAAAUGAAAGACUAGACAAACCAGCACAUGGUAUAUAUAUCAAAAAAUAUUCAUUAUGCAUUUUAAACACUUUCCAUAGCAAAGAAUAUCAUGGAGUUAAAGCCCCAUUUUCCAGAAAAAUCAGUCUAGAGAUGCUGUAGUAAUUAUCUCUUCUGUGUAAACUAGUGGGAUUAACAAUUGAUUAGAUCAAGGUAACUUGAUUUAAAAAAUCUUAAAGUCUUGUUAAAAAGCCACACUGCUAAUUAGCUAAAACUAUUUCACAUUUAGCACAUAAAAAGAAUAAAAAGAAAAAAGAAGUAUUACAGCAAUCUGUGAUUACAAAUACCCCCACAGUUCAUUCUGCUGGAAGCUAUGUUUAGUUAGAAAUUUAAGACCUAGAACACUCAAUACAGCAGAAGGACUGAGAAUCAUUUCCCUAUAUAAUUAAUCUUGCCUGCCUAUAAAGAGAUCAAGAGGUCAACAUGCAGCCCAGAACCUUUAACAUGAAAACUCCAGGCUUCUCCCGAUUUAUGUCAAAAUGAAGUGCAUGCUGAUACUGUCACUACCGACAGUUUAUAGAAGGAGACUUAGAAUUGCUGACUGAGCACAAAAGUUCAAAAAUCAUUAGUUUUUAAAUACAAAAUGGUGGAGUUUUAAAAGUUCUAAUCCAUUUUGUUGUUGUUGUUGUUACGCAUGUAUAGCAACAGAAUUCCUGUCUUCCUUUCAAUCUUUCUUUGAGAAACAAGACAUUCAACAACUUGCUUUUAAUUUAUUAUCUGAUGUAAGAUUAAGAUAUAUUAAAUGUUGGAACGGUGGCAACAAUCAGCAAAGCAAUUAGUACAGCUGACUCUUUACAUCCAAAAAGUCUAAUCUGGGCAUCAGUCCAGAUGCCUUGCUAAACCAGGGUGCAGCACAUACAAACCCAGGUAUUUUUCUGAUGACAGUGACAAAAGAACUGUUAAAUGAACUCUAACGGCAAAAACGGAGGCAAAUUGUCCCUCUUUGCUCUGCCCAGACAAAUCCAGGUAUUGAAUCCAGUCAUGCCAAAUGAGUGACAAAAGCCCUCCUAUGGAACAAACCACAAAUCCUUUAUCUGGCUUUUUUAACCUUCCCUUUCACUGGAGUUUGAAUCUCCUACUACAUAUCAGCCACUCACAUUCUCAUUGUCCCCCCACCCACCUGUGAUUUUGAACACAGGGGGGUGGAGGUGAUUUAUAAAAAGGA
Molecule: long non-coding RNA, 2651 nt
Organism: Oxyura jamaicensis (ruddy duck)
Lineage: Eukaryota; Metazoa; Chordata; Aves; Anseriformes; Anatidae
Exons: 5
Source: RefSeq, a predicted model, not a curated record